This 332-nucleotide ribosomal RNA is filed under the name uncultured eukaryote. RNAcentral's name for it is "partial 18S ribosomal RNA". It matches the Rfam family "Eukaryotic small subunit ribosomal RNA", at positions 1470 to 1796 of the family's 1831-position model. The record is from RNAcentral.
CCCUUAGAUGUCCUGGGCUGCACGCGCGCUACACUGGAAGUUACGGAUUGAGAUACUACCUUGUCCGAAAUGGUCCGGGUAAUCACCUAAAAGCUUGUCAUAAUUGGAAUGGAUUAUUGUAACUAGUAAUCCUGAACGAGGAAUUCCUAGUAAGUCCCAGUCAACAGCUGGUACUGAUUACGUCCCUGCCCUUUGUACACACCGCCCGUCGCUACUACUGAUUGGACGUUUAAGCGAGAUUUUUAAACACUGACAGUGUGUAGUUCACGCUAUACUACAGUGAGAAGAAGAAGAUCGAGCUUACUUGUCUAGAGGAAGUAAAAGUCGUAACA